Molecule: ribosomal RNA, 423 nt
Filed under: uncultured fungus
Lineage: Eukaryota; Fungi
Description: eukaryotic LSU rRNA
Rfam family: Eukaryotic large subunit ribosomal RNA
Source: RNAcentral
GACCUCGGAUCAGGUAGGGAUACCCGCUGAACUUAAGCAUAUCAAUAAGCGGAGGAAAAGAAACCAACAGGGAUUGCCCUAGUAACGGCGAGUGAAGCGGCAACAGCUCAAAUUUGAAAUCUGGCUCUUUUAGAGUCCGAGUUGUAAUUUGCAGAGGGCGCUUUGGCGUUGGCAGCGGUCCAAGUUCCUUGGAACAGGACGUCACAGAGGGUGAGAAUCCCGUACGUGGUCGCUAACCUUCGCCGUGUAAAGCCCCUUCGACGAGUCGAGUUGUUUGGGAAUGCAGCUCUAAAUGGGAGGUAAAUUUCUUCUAAAGCUAAAUACUGGCCAGAGACCGAUAGCGCACAAGUAGAGUGAUCGAAAGAUGAAAAGCACUUUGGAAAGAGAGUCAAAUAGCACGUGAAAUUGUUGAAAGGGAAGCGC